AGGGAAGCAUCUCUGCUUGUCUCUUUUGGAGUGUUCAGCGAGUUCUGAUCCUUAGGUAGGGGUGUCUGAUCUGGCCUUGAGAUACAGCAGGGUUCACAACACAGAAAUACCAACAAGCAGGUCCACGGAACCACCAGACAUCAUCCUGUGCUGCUAUUGUUAUUAUGAAUGAGCUAAAUAGAGCAUUUAUGACACAACUAGGAGACUCAAGAAGGAAACAGAUUGCAGAAGAGAUCUCCAAACUUCAGAAACUUAGAGGGGUGGAUAAAGUCAUGUUGAUGAAACAAAGGAGUACUAUUUGUGUAGGAAGCAGAAAAACAUGGUGAGCUCAGAAAGAACUAGGUUAUAUUCUGCUUUGCCAACAGUUGAAGAACACGUAUCAGUAAAACUGUAUAUGACACAGCAUUUUGUUUUUAUGUUGAGGGAUGUUUCAAGUGCGUACUUUCAAUGCAUACUUUUCUAGCUAAAGAUUCAAAUAACUGUGAACGUUUGUAUAAAUAUACUAAUUCUGUCUCUGCAGUAAAAUAUCACAAAAGAAAUAACUGUAAACUGCUAUUUUAAGCAGUAAGUAAGUAAGAAACUUCAGACCAAAUCUUAACCUCCAGCAUCUACAAGGACAGCAAGAAUGUAACUGGUUUAUCUGAGAAAAUGGGUGCAAUCAAGUAUAUAAGCAAACCUAACUAGGAAGGAGAAUGGAAAUCUACAGUGAUGUUGCAAAUGGCAGGCAUGUUGCUGUUCUCAGCGUUGAAUACUGAGAUUCAGCUGGUAAACCAGAAUUACUGUACACGGCACUAUUUAUGGUGCGAGUCCAAAGCCGGUUUAUUUCUUAGUGGGUCUUAAAUGGAAUGGAUGGAUUUUUCAAGUCAGUGUGGAAGAUGAUAAGUAAAAAUUUUAGAGGA
Long non-coding RNA from Tympanuchus pallidicinctus (lesser prairie-chicken), 899 nucleotides. RefSeq lists it as uncharacterized. The transcript is spliced from 2 exons. The record is from RefSeq and is a predicted model, not a curated record. NCBI's taxonomy places the organism in Eukaryota, Metazoa, Chordata, Aves, Galliformes, Phasianidae.